This 551-nucleotide ribosomal RNA is filed under the name uncultured Diversispora. RNAcentral's name for it is "SSU rRNA". It matches the Rfam family "Eukaryotic small subunit ribosomal RNA", at positions 548 to 1098 of the family's 1831-position model. The record is from RNAcentral. Lineage: Eukaryota; Fungi; Glomeromycota; Glomeromycetes; Diversisporales; Diversisporaceae.
UUGGAGGGCAAGUCUGGUGCCAGCAGCCGCGGUAAUUCCAGCUCCAAUAGCGUAUAUUAAAGUUGUUGCAGUUAAAAAGCUCGUAGUUGAACUUCGGGGUUUACCCAUUGGUCAGGCUUAAUUGUCUGUACUGGUGAGAUAAAUCUCUACUUUCUGAGGAACUUUCAUGCCAUUUAUUUGGUGUGAUGGGAAAUCAGGACUGUUACUUUGAAAAAAUUAGAGUGUUUAAAGCAGGCUAACGUCUGAAUACAUUAGCAUGGAAUAAUGAAAUAGGACGGACUGAUUCUAUUUCGUUGGUUUCUAGGAUCACCGUAAUGAUUAAUAGGGAUAGUUGGGGGCAUUAGUAUUCAAUUGUCAGAGGUGAAAUUCUUGGAUUUAUUGAAGACUAACUACUGCGAAAGCAUUUGCCAAGGAUGUUUUCAUUAAUCAAGAACGAAAGUUAGGGGAUCGAAGACGAUCAGAUACCGUCGUAGUCUUAACCAUAAACUAUGCCGACUAGGGAUCGGACGAAGUUAAUUUUAUAAUGACGCGUUCGGCGCCUUACGGGAAAC